UUCAUCUUUGAUCCAUUUUAGAAAUUUAUUAGACACGACAACAACGCCUAUCAACAUACUUCCUUCAUUGUGAUGUACUCCUAAGUUUUAAUCCACGAUUUGGUUAAUCAACUCUACUUCCUUCAACAUCAUUGCAGAUACAUGAAGUGUCUUUCGACUCAAGGCGUCUGCUACAACAUUGGCCUUUUCUGGAUGAUACUGUAACUCAAAAUCAUAGUCCAUCAAAAA
Molecule: long non-coding RNA, 228 nt
Filed under: Lathyrus oleraceus (garden pea)
Lineage: Eukaryota; Viridiplantae; Streptophyta; Magnoliopsida; Fabales; Fabaceae
Description: Pisum sativum (pea) long non-coding RNA (PSAT_LNC017333)
Source: RNAcentral